RNA transcript from Strongylocentrotus purpuratus (purple sea urchin), 2934 nucleotides. RefSeq lists it as uncharacterized. NCBI's taxonomy places the organism in Eukaryota, Metazoa, Echinodermata, Echinoidea, Camarodonta, Strongylocentrotidae. The transcript is spliced from 2 exons. The record is from RefSeq and is a predicted model, not a curated record.
GAUCAUGGGGGACCAACAGGCACCGAUUAUGCAUUGUUAGUGCAAGUAGCUAUAAGUAGUGCAGUGGGGCUUUAACACUCCUGGAUUUAUUUGUGUAUCAGACGUAUGUUCAGCUCAGAUUAAUUUCAUACAUUGUCUGCAUUGUUGCUUUGUUGCAUUUGAAAUAUAGCAUCAUUAUAUGAAGAGUUGCAAUUCAUCUAAUUCUGUUUACAGGUAAUACUUAUUCUACUGUCAUGUGAUUGAUUGGGUUUUCAGUUUUAUUCUGGGUAUUCUCAAAUCUUUGUGAGACAGGGCCCUGGUAUAAGCUUAGAAUAUGAUUUAUUGCAUCUUGUUAUUUGUAAACAAUCGUUAAAAAAAACAAGUUUGUUGAAACAAGGUCCUAAGGUGAGCACAGUGCACUAGGGUUCUUCAAGGGAUGCAAUUGAUUUGCAUGUACAUGUAUCACCGUGGUAGGAUUCUUGGUCCAUUCUCUUCUCACUUUUUGUUCCAUAUAUGAACUAUGUUUCUGGUUCUAUACACUGAACAUUUUGUGCGGCUAUAGAAGCAUGGUAUUUUCAGUACUAUCUGCAUUGUGUGUGUGUGUUGUAGAUAGAUAUCUUGAUAUUUACCAUCUGCUUCUGUUUAAAAAAUAUUAAAAAAAUAAAUAAAAAAUAGAGCAAUAAGUUUUGAUGUACUUGAUCUGCUUUAUGAUUCUUACACUCCAAUUAGCUCUGUCUGUAUCAUACAAUGGACUGUGGAAUCCUUUUGUUUAUUCUUUCACAUGACGUACCAGAUGCUUGCUGUGUGAGAUGGGCUACUUUAAAAAAAAAAUAGAAAAUCGCAAGAUGUCUGUCUGUACAUGUGUAUUUACAUAAAAUCGAGGAACUACGGUAAACUGUAUUAAACUGUGUAAAGUUGAGUAUUUAUUAAGAUUAAGUGAAUCAUAAGAAUCCAUUGACUACAAUACAUCAGUCUUGGGCUAACAUACUCUAGUGUGCAUGCAUAUAACUUUGGUGAAGAGAUGUUUAUCCUUUAACCUAAACGAUGAUUAGAAAUUACAUUAAUUGUGAAUCAUGAGCUAUUUUGCGAUAUUGACCUCAACUACAUUCCAUUGUUUUUUUAUUGAAGAAAACCGAUCCUUCAUUUUUUCUUGCUCGCUUUAAAUUCUUUAAACAAUUUUUUUGAACAAGUCCAAAGUGUAUGAUAAAAAAGAAAUGCAUGCCUUUAAAUGUGAUGUCUUAAAUUUUAUGGUACUGAUAUGUUUACAAAUGAGCUAACGUGUCAUGCAACAAAUAAAAUUAAGUUCACAUAUGAUAUUGUACAGUAUGUACUUUUCUAACUUGCUCAGUCUUGAGAAAGGAGAAAGUGUAUCUGGCAAUUUUUCAGAGCAAGCAUAGGUUAUUACGCAUACUGAAUGCAAUUAAUAAAGCAUUGUCCUUAUCUGUCCAUUGACUGUAGUUUCGGUCAAUUGUCACCUUUCAGUUAAUGUUCCAACUUGGAACACCCUGCUUUGGACGGACCGUGAAGGACAUUUGCAGGGCCGUAGGAGUGAAUCAUAAUUAUCCCCAAACGGUCAAGGGUUAAUGUGAUAUAUCCUUUGAGACUGUGAUUUAUGUUAGUCAGCCUGCCUGGUUAAGUUUGACUCUGAUCUGAUGUAUGUUGUGCAGGGAAGUAAAGUUCUGGCUCUUCUUAGUAAAUAGUGUAAACAUUGUUUCAAGAAUCAAGUAUCUUAAUAUUAUGGCUGUGUUAUUGUAUUGAACACAGGUGUGUACACUGUGUUCAUAUAUAUGCAGAUGGUAUAUUGGUAAGGUCUGUAAGGUAUUCCCCUGCCUUUGUUCUUCUUUGAAUGUUUAUGUGACCUUCAUGUUUUAGUUGCAUUAUGCAGAUUGUAAUUUUUAGCAGAAUGAAUGUUUUCCAUGAAUCUUGUGUGUAUAUCUUUAGAGUGUAGGUCGACAUUUUUAUGCCGUAUUUCCAUAAGUUAGCUUGAUGCACAUAGUGUGAAGGGUGUGAAUGAAAUAAAAAUACCUUUUUAAAAAUUAUUAUAUACCUUAAGAUCCCAAAACCUUGUUAGAAAUCUGUUAAAAUACUGACCAAUUUGAUUUAUCAGUCAAAAUAACUUUCUGUGUAUGGAUUAAGUAAUAUGAGUGAUAAAUUCUACUUAUCUAAAAAUUAUAUACUAGUAUGCAUUCAAAAGGUGUCAGUUUUAUUUUAAAAGAAUAUGAAAUGUUAUUUCUUGCACAACAUGAUUAUUCUCCCUUCCAGUGUGUAUAAAUGAGUAUUCUAUAUAUAGUUUUGUAUGUAAUAUUGGUGUAUUAUAUAAAUGUGGAAGGUUAAUUCUCAGAUUAAGAAAUAGAAUAUUUAUAUAUGUUGGGUCAAACAGUUAGAUACGAUACUAAUAGAGAUGUGACAAUCAUUGCAGCUUAAGCACAAAGUCUAUUAAAAAAAAUUACUUACAGGUGAUUAUAAUAAUUCAAUCAUUGCAGUUUAUCUGUGUAAAUUGGCAAAAUUUAUGAAUGAAAACCAGAUCAAUAAAUGAAUAUUGGUAUUCUCUAUGUAAAUUGCACGUGAUAUAAAAUCAUCAGUUUUUCUGACAUAUUUUCGAAUGAUUUAAUCAAAAUUAAAAAUGAGCCAGUUUCUUUUAAAUACUUUUCUUUACAAUAGCACAUCGUUAGGUACAUGCACAUUGAAUUAAAUGCACAUAGGUCAUUUUUUUUACAAGAAUUAUAAGUUGAAGCUAUUAGUUAAAAUUAGCAGUUGAAAAAUACUGCUCAGUGUAAGAAGAUCAUGCAAUGUUUCCAUUAUCUUGUGUCUUUCACCAAAAUUUAUCUUACUACCAUGUUUGAUUGAUUUUAAUUGCUGUUUGUUUUUGGAAAUUUUGUAGCAGGAUUGAAAUAUUAUUGUGGAUAAGCAGCCAAGAUAUCAAUUUAUAAAAUAUGUCUCUUUAACAAAAAAAAA